Long non-coding RNA from Lineus longissimus, 3822 nucleotides. RefSeq lists it as uncharacterized. Lineage: Eukaryota; Metazoa; Nemertea; Pilidiophora; Heteronemertea; Lineidae. The record is from RefSeq and is a predicted model, not a curated record. The transcript has 5 exons.
UGAAGGCAUUCAGAUUUGGUAUGGCAUCGUCAUUCUACUGACAAGCCAUGGCCCGUUAACAAAAUUUACCAAGGACCACAGUUCUUUGCUGCGACAUUGGCUAGGUUUUGCUGACCACAAUACCAUUUGAACUGGAAAUGUUGUUGCGAGAAGAAUCCGUCUUGGGAUACAAGCCUAAUAGCAAGAUCAGAGGGCAUGGUUCCCACGAAGGCUGUCCAAGGGAGAUUCAGCAACCUACUUGAUCAGCAUGGUUUCAAGAUCAUUGGGCUUGGGUGUAACGGGGGCCUGGAGAAACCAUCACGUUGCAUGGAUGCUCGGAGACACUUGUCACCCCUGGAAUGCCUGCUGUGAACAAGAGCUGGGGCUGAACCAAGCUAAGAUUAUUGACAAUCCCUAUCAUGUUGCCAACGUCACCAAUGGCAGGACUGAAGAUGGAUCCAUUGGAAACUAAAGGCUUUUCCUCAGCCAACACCUCAUGAACUAGACUGGAAAAUAGCACAGGUGAUCAAGACUGAUACCGCACAAUCGUCCUCCUGGUUAACAAGCUAAGACCAAUCCAGAUGGGGAGGGUUGGCCCUCCAACACCACUACCAAUGCUCUCAGCUGGGAUCAGUGGACUGCAGCAAUAUCUUACUGAAGACAAAGAUGAGGGAAUCUACAAUGUUGAUGCAAGAUUGCCCUGUGAUGUCCAGGCAUCUUUGACUACAACGCUUUGGUUCACCAGUAGGUCCUCGGAUGGUAAAGUUUGGACACAACAUCCUGAGCAUGAAGAAUAUUCUGAAAGACAGCACAAACAAUAUUUGGACAUUCAAUUUUUCAGCUGAGAAGGACCUUUUUUCAAGUUAGGACUAAAGCCCCUGGGCCUGCUUUAGGCCUAUAACUGUAGUUUGUGCUCUGUAGUAUGUGAUUUGAAAAGAUUGGAGUAAGGAUUGUACAAUGGAACAAGUGUUAUUUUGUUUGCCACAGUAACUUAAGCCAGAGAUUGUUGGACUGGGUCCAUUAAAUGUGACAAAAAUAUCCAACACCUAUUUACAAAUGAAGUGAGGGGGUCAGCCUUUUGGUGUAACUCCAUAUAACUGUCUGGUGAUUUCGCUCUGGGCUUGUGACAUUCUGAUCGGUCUGAAAUAAUCAUUGUCGCCCAUCCCUCAAUUUGAGGCCUGUGUCCCGAUGGUGGCGUUGAAUGGCAAAAUCAAAGGGGCAUGACGGCGGUUAAACCUAUUGCGAAUGGGCAGCAUCACAACCAGUUCUGAGAUCUGGGGGUGGUGUAGGAUAUCUGGUUACCACGCACACAUCUCUUGAAUCUGCGGUGGGUUGGUACCCCACGCUACGUAAGGGGAGGUUCUGGGUAAGACUUGGUCCACGUGAAUAGGUUGUACCUGAAAGAUGAGAAGAUGCGAAUGGUCGCCUUAGAAUAUGUCCUUCGACCAGCUAGUGCUAACCCGGUCACUGUCUCCAGGUCACCACACCUUGGUCAAUGAGCGGGCGAAGAACCCAAUGGCUCCAUCAGGAGUACAUCGUCAACUUCAGCCCGUAGUCAAACCGGUCCACGUACAAAUAUCUUAGCUGAGAGUGGGGGACGUACUUGCUUCUCAUCGGGGUAAUACAGUACCACUGUAUACAAUGACCCCAUUUUAGUUGGAUUUUACUGAGGAGUGGACGAUAAUGAGAAUUUCAGGCCAGUCCGAUUGUCACCAGUUCAGAGGGCGAUUACCCGAUAGUUAUGUGGCAUUCCAUCAAACGGUGAACUCUUUCACAUCCUUUGUAAAUUAGUGUUGCUUGUUACAUGUCACAUUCAAUGGCUCAUUUGAGGAUAGUUUCUGUGAUUCUACUUUACCAUGAGCAGGCCCAUUAAAACCUAAACUGUGUAGUUUGUGCUCUGUAGUAUGUGAUCUAAAAAGUUGAAAAUCUGGUUAUUGUAGUAAAGAUUGUAGAAUGGAAUAUCCGCGGGAUGCCCUAAUCUGAGAGCCAAGAGCCAAGACGCUAUUAAAGAGCCAAUUAAGUGCUGCCAGGAAAGCCCCGAGCCAAAGAAAAAGUUUAGGCUAAUGAAACUUUGGGAAUCCUAAGCCUACAGGUACCCUACUGGAUAAAAAAUUAAUUUAUUAUGUAAUCAUUUAUGAUAUUGUAAGAAAUCACCACCUUGAUAGCUAUAUGGUUCACAGUCUACCAUGCCAGGAUUUUUUAUUGUACUCUUGUUAUGCUGUCAAUACAAUAGGGCAAGUACAGUGUACAUGAGUCUGCACUUCAUACACUGUGUACAAUCGCACUUGUUUGUCAUUCCUGCCGUAUCAUGUAGCCUUGCGCAAAUAGUUCAAUCAAAAUUGUUUUAAAAAGGCAUGAUAUUGCUCAAAUUUGUAAAUUCUUGAUUGAAAUCUGCCAAUUCAAGUAAUGAGAUAGCGGUACUCUGCUUAUCUGUACUAUAAAAAAACCGACGGUUAUCGCGGCUCUUGGCUCUAGGUUUAGGGUGUCCCAAUAUCCACACCUGGUAUUCUUUAGUUACUGUGUAGUGACCUUUUUGUUUUCACUUUUAAAAACCUAUUCGAUUUGCCGCACUGAAGGUCCCUCCAGAGAUUGUUGGACUGGGUCCAUUAAAUGUGACAAAAAUAUCCAACACCUAUUUACAAAUGAAGUGAGGGGGUCAGCCUUUUGGUGUAACUCCAUAUAACUGUCUGGUGAUUUCGCUCUGGGCUUGUGACAUUCUGAUCGGUCUGAAAUAAUCAUUGUCGCCCAUCCCUCAAUUUGAGGCCUGUGUCCCGAUGGUGGCGUUGAAUGGCAAAAUCAAAGGGGCAUGACGGCGGUUAAACCUAUUGCGAAUGGGCAGCAUCACAACCAGUUCUAAGAUCUGGGGGUGGUGUAGGAUAUCUGGUUACCACGCACACAUCUCUUGAAUCUGCGGUGGGUUGGUACCCCACGCUACGUAAGGGGAGGUUCUGGGUAAGACUUGGUCCACGUGAAUAGGUUGUACCUGAAAGAUGAGAAGAUGCGAAUGGACGCCUUAGAAUAUGUCCUUCGACCAGCUAGUGCUAACCCGGUCACUAUCUCCAGGUCACCAUACCUUGGUCAAUGAGCGGGCGAAGAACCCAAUGGCUCCGUCAGGAGUACAUCGUCAACUUCAGCCUGUAGUCAAACCGGUCCACGUACAAAUAUCUUAGCUGAGAGUGGGGGACGUACUUGCUUCUCAUCGGGGUAAUACAGUACCACUGUAUACAAUGACCCCAUUUUAGUUGGAUUUUACUGAGGAGUGGACGAUAAUGAGAAUUUCAGGCCAGUCCGAUUGUCACCAGUUCAGAGGGCGAUUACCUGAUAGUUGUGUGGCAUUCCAUCAAACUGUGAACUCUUUCACAUCCUUUGUAAAUUAGUGUUGCUUGUUACAUGUCACAUUCAAUGGCUCAUUUGAGGAUAGUUUCUGUGAUUCUACUUUACCAUGAGCAGGCCCAUUAAAACCUAAACUGUGUAGUUUGUGCUCUGUAGUAUGUGAUCUAAAAAGUUGUAAAUCUGGUUAUUGGAGUAAAGAUUGUAGAAUGGAAUAUCCGCGGGAUGCCCUAAUCUGAGAGCCAAGAGCCAAGACGCUGUUAAAGAGCCAAUUAAGUGCUGCCAGGAAAGCCCUGAGCCAAAGAAAAAGUUAAGGCUAAUGAAACUUUGGGAAUCCUAAGCCUACAGGUAGCCUACUUGAUAAAAAAUAAAUAUAUUAUGUAACCAUUUAUGACGUUGUAAGACAUCGCCAGUCUGAUUGUCACCAGUACCUGAUAGUUAUGUGGCGUUCCUGUCAAACUUUUAACUCUUUCACGUCCAUUGUAAAUUAGUGUUGCUUGUUACAUGUUACAU